RNAcentral lists this transfer RNA (53 nucleotides) under Armadillidium nasatum. Its description in RNAcentral is "tRNA-Cys". The record is from RNAcentral. Lineage: Eukaryota; Metazoa; Arthropoda; Malacostraca; Isopoda; Armadillidiidae.
GGUCUAUAAAUCCUUAAACUGCAAAUUUAAGUAAGCAAUUAUUGCAAAAACCU